GAUGAACGCUGGCGGCGUGCCUAAUACAUGCAAGUCGAGCGAACAGAUGAGGAGCUUGCUCCUCUGACGUUAGCGGCGGACGGGUGAGUAACACGUGGAUAACCUACCUAUAAGACUGGGAUAACUUCGGGAAACCGGAGCUAAUACCGGAUAAUAUAUUGAACCGCAUGGUUCAAUAGUGAAAGACGGUUUUGCUGUCACUUAUAGAUGGAUCCGCGCCGCAUUAGCUAGUUGGUAAGGUAACGGCUUACCAAGGCGACGAUGCGUAGCCGACCGGAGAGGGUGAUCGGCCACACUGGAACUGAGACACGGUCCAGACUCCUACGGGAGGCAGCAGUAGGGAAUCUUCCGCAAUGGGCGAAAGCCUGACGGAGCAACGCCGCGUGAGUGAUGAAGGUCUUCGGAUCGUAAAACUCUGUUAUUAGGGAAGAACAAAUGUGUAAGUAACUAUGCACGUCUUGACGGUACCUAAUCAGAAAGCCACGGCUAACUACGUG
This 497-nucleotide ribosomal RNA is filed under the name uncultured bacterium. RNAcentral's name for it is "partial 16S ribosomal RNA". It matches the Rfam family "Bacterial small subunit ribosomal RNA", at positions 28 to 507 of the family's 1533-position model. The record is from RNAcentral.